RNAcentral lists this ribosomal RNA (255 nucleotides) under uncultured bacterium. Its description in RNAcentral is "partial 16S ribosomal RNA". It matches the Rfam family "Bacterial small subunit ribosomal RNA", at positions 524 to 776 of the family's 1533-position model. The record is from RNAcentral.
UACGGGGGGGGGCAAGCGUUGUUCGGAAUUACUGGGCGUAAAGGGCUCGUAGGCGGCCAACUAAGUCAGACGUGAAAUCCCUCGGCUUAACCGGGGAACUGCGUCUGAUACUGGAUGGCUUGAGUGUGGGAGAGGGAUGCGGAAUUCCAGGUGUAGCGGUGAAAUGCGUAGAUAUCUGGAGGAACACCGGUGGCGAAGGCGGCAUCCUGGACCAUUACUGACGCUGAGUGAGCGAAAGCCAGGGGAGCAAACGGG